CCUACGGGCGGCAGCAGUGGGGAAUAUUGGACAAUGGGGGCAACCCUGAUCCAGCCAUGCCGCGUGUGUGAAGAAGGCCCUCGGGGUGUAAAGCACUUUCAGUGAGGAAGAACGCCUGGUGGUUAAUACCCAUCAGGAAAGACAUCACUCACAGAAGAAGCACCGGCUAACUCCGUGCCAGCAGCCGCGGUAAUACGGAGGGUGCGAGCGUUAAUCGGAAUUACUGGGCGUAAAGCGCGCGUAGGUGGCUUGAUAAGCCGGUUGUGAAAGCCCCGGGCUCAACCUGGGAACGGCAUCCGGAACUGUCAAGCUAGAGUGCAGGAGAGGAAGGUAGAAUUCCCGGUGUAGCGGUGAAAUGCGUAGAGAUCGGGAGGAAUACCAGUGGCGAAGGCGGCCUUCUGGACUGACACUGACACUGAGGUGCGAAAGCGUGGGUAGCAAACAGGAUUAGAUACCCUUGUAGUC
RNAcentral lists this ribosomal RNA (465 nucleotides) under Vreelandella stevensii. RNAcentral's name for it is "partial 16S ribosomal RNA". It matches the Rfam family "Bacterial small subunit ribosomal RNA", at positions 338 to 795 of the family's 1533-position model. The record is from RNAcentral. Lineage: Bacteria; Pseudomonadati; Pseudomonadota; Gammaproteobacteria; Oceanospirillales; Halomonadaceae.